RNAcentral lists this ribosomal RNA (1657 nucleotides) under human gut metagenome. RNAcentral's name for it is "bacterial LSU rRNA". It matches the Rfam family "Bacterial large subunit ribosomal RNA", at positions 823 to 2495 of the family's 2925-position model. The record is from RNAcentral.
GAAAUUCCAAUCGAACCCGGAGAUAGCUGGUUCUCCCCGAAAUAGCUUUAGGGCUAGCGUCGAGAGAAGAGUUGCGUGAAGGUAGAGCACUGAAUAUGUGAUGGCCCCAUCUCGGGGUACUGAGCAUAAUCAAACUGCGAAUGUCACGCCAACAUGCUCGGCAGUCAGACAGCGGGUGAUAAGGUCCGUUGUCAAGAGGGAAACAGCCCAGACCAUCAGCUAAGGUCCCAAAAUGUAUGCUAAGUGGAAAAGGAUGUGGAGAUGUACAGACAACUAGGAGGUUGGCUCAGAAGCAGCCAUCCUUUAAAGAGUGCGUAACAGCUCACUAGUCGAAUGACUCUGCGCCGAUAAUUUACCGGGGCUAAGCAUACUACCGAAGCUAUGGAUCCCAAGGGAUGGUAGGGGAGCGUUCCAUGAACGGAGAAGUACGACCGAAAGGACGUGUGGAGAUCAUGGAAGAGAGAAUGCCGGUGUGAGUAGCGGAACGUGGGUGAGAAUCCCACGCACCGAAAACCCAAGGUUUCCAGAGGAAGGUUCGUCCGCUCUGGGUAAGUCGGGACCUAAGGCGAGGCCGAAAGGCGUAGUCGAUGGACAACAGGUAGAGAUUCCUGUACCCGUAUAUAUGUGAAGGAAUGACGGAGAGAGGAAGCUGCAGCCAGCGGCUGGAAGAGCUGGUGCAAGCGAGAUAUCGGGAUGGCAGGCAAAUCCACCAUCCGAAACGAGAAGGCGUGAAGCGUACGGAAAGCUACGGCGAGUACGGAAGGCAGUGGAGGAACUUCCAAGAAAAGUUUCUAACGUUAAGUAUAUAUGGCCCGUACCGAAAAUGGACACACAUGGGUGAGGAGAGAAUCCUAAGGUGAGCGAGAGAACUAUAGCUAAGGAACUCUGCAAAAUGACUCCGUAACUUAGGGAGAAGGAGUGCUCAUAGAGAUAUGAGCCGCAGUGAAACGGCCCAAGCGACUGUUUACCAAAAACACAGCUCUCUGCUAAGCCGCAAGGCGAAGUAUAGGGGGUGACGCCUGCCCGGUGCUGGAAGGUUAAGGGGAGGGGUUAACGCAAGUGAAGCCCUGAACUGAAGCCCCAGUAAACGGCGGCCGUAACUAUAACGGUCCUAAGGUAGCGAAAUUCCUUGUCAGGUAAGUUCUGACCCGCACGAAAGGCGUAACGAUUUGGGCGCUGUCUCAGCUGUAGACUCGGUGAAGUCUUAGUACCUGUGAAGAUGCAGGUUACCCGCGACUAGACGGAAAGACCCCAUGGAGCUUCACUGCAGGUUGAUAUUGGGAUUUGAUGCAGCAUGUACAGGAUAGGUAGGAGGCAAAGAGAUGGAUACGCCAGUAUUCAAGGAGCCGCUGUUGGGAUACUACCCCUGUUGUAUUGGAUUUCUAACCGGACGACGUAGAGCCGUUGACGGGACAGUGUCAGUCGGGCAGUUUGACUGGGGCGGUCGCCUCCCAAAGAGUAACGGAGGCGCCCAAAGAUACCCUCAGCUUGGAUGGAAACCAAGCGCAGAGUGCAAAGGCAAAAGGGUGUUUGACUGCGAGACCUACAAGUCGAGCAGGGACGAAAGUCGGGCUUAGUGAUCCGGCGGUGCUGAAUGGAAAGGCCGUCGCUCAACGGAUAAAAGCUACCCUGGGGAUAACAGGCUGAUCUCCCCCAA